CCUACGGGAGGCAGCAGUGGGGAAUAUUGGGCAAUGGGCGCAAGCCUGACCCAGCGACGCCGCGUGCGGGAUGACGCUUCUCGGAGUGUAAACCGCUGUCAGAGGGGACGAACGGCCCGGAGGGGAAUACUCUUCGGGAUUGACGGUACCCUCAAAGGAAGCGCCGGCUAACUCCGUGCCAGCAGCCGCGGUAAUACGGAGGGCGCAAGCGUUGUUCGGAAUCACUGGGCGUAAAGCGCGCGCAGGCGGGACGAGCAAGUCGGAAGUGAAAUCUCGGGGCUCAACUCCGAGGCUGCUUCCGAUACUGCCGACCUGGAGACCGGUAGAGGUGGGUGGAAUUCCCGGUGUAGCGGUGGAAUGCGUAGAUAUCGGGAAGAACACCUGUGGCGAAGGCGGCCCACUGGGCCGGAUCUGACGCUGAGGCGCGAAAGCGUGGGGAG
This 440-nucleotide ribosomal RNA is filed under the name uncultured bacterium. Its description in RNAcentral is "bacterial SSU rRNA". It matches the Rfam family "Bacterial small subunit ribosomal RNA", at positions 338 to 768 of the family's 1533-position model. The record is from RNAcentral.